GCUAUUAAAUCUUUUUGUAAUUAAAAAUGAACUAAUUUGUCUAGAUAGACGAUGAAAUCAAAAAAUGCGAGGAGAUACUUUGUUCUAAAAUAAUUAAUACAAGUGAUUUGAUAAAUAUUUCAAACAUAUUAACAGAUGAUUUGAUGAAAGUAUUUGUGGAAAGCUUAAAUGAUCAUGAAAAAUUUGUAAAUAUGUAUGAUGUGUAUUAUUUUGCUUUUAAAAUUAAAAAACCUGAUUCGAACUUUGAUAACAUUUUACAAGAGUCAGUACAGUAUUUCAACGAUUUCAAUAAUCUAGACGUAAAUUUAGCUAAUGUACGCAAAUACUUAGCUAAUAUUAAUGGUAAAAUUGAAGAUAAUUUGGACAAUAUGAUUACCGUUUGGGCUUCUUGUCAUUAAUAAUCGCUGAUUCUCUGUAAUUAAUAUUUUCAUAAUUUAUAAAAU
Molecule: long non-coding RNA, 443 nt
Organism: Daktulosphaira vitifoliae (grape phylloxera)
Lineage: Eukaryota; Metazoa; Arthropoda; Insecta; Hemiptera; Phylloxeridae
Exons: 3
Source: RefSeq, a predicted model, not a curated record